This 79-nucleotide transfer RNA is filed under the name Brugia pahangi. It matches the Rfam family "tRNA". From Rfam's summary of the family: Transfer RNA (tRNA) molecules are approximately 80 nucleotides in length. Their secondary structure includes four short double-helical elements and three loops (D, anti-codon, and T loops). Further hydrogen bonds mediate the characteristic L-shaped molecular structure. tRNAs have two regions of fundamental functional importance: the anti-codon, which is responsible for specific mRNA codon recognition, and the 3' end, to which the tRNAs corresponding amino acid is attached (by aminoacyl-tRNA synthetases). tRNAs cope with the degeneracy of the genetic code in two manners: having more than one tRNA (with a specific anti-codon) for a particular amino acid; and 'wobble' base-pairing, i.e. permitting non-standard base-pairing at the 3rd anti-codon position. The record is from Rfam by way of RNAcentral. Lineage: Eukaryota; Metazoa; Nematoda; Chromadorea; Rhabditida; Onchocercidae.
GAGAUGGCCGAGCGGUCUAAGGCGCUGGUUUAAGGCACCAGUCUCUUCGGAGGCGUGGGUUCGAAUCCCACUCUCGUCA